AUUGAACGCUGGCGGCAUGCCUUACACAUGCAAGUCGAACGGCAGCACGGGUGCUUGCACCUGGUGGCGAGUGGCGAACGGGUGAGUAAUACAUCGGAACAUGUCCUGUAGUGGGGGAUAGCCCGGCGAAAGCCGGAUUAAUACCGCAUACGAUCUACGGAUGAAAGCGGGGGACCUUCGGGCCUCGCGCUAUAGGGUUGGCCGAUGGCUGAUUAGCUAGUUGGUGGGGUAAAGGCCUACCAAGGCGACGAUCAGUAGCUGGUCUGAGAGGACGACCAGACACACUGGGACUGAGACACGGCCCAGACUCCUACGGGAGGCAGCAGUGGGGAAUUUUGGACAAUGGGCGAAAGCCUGAUCCAGCAAUGCCGCGUGUGUGAAGAAGGCCUUCGGGUUGUAAAGCACUUUUGUCCGGAAAGAAAUCCUUGGCCCUAAUACGGUCGGGGGAUGACGGUACCGGAAGAAUAAGCACCGGCUAACUACGUG
RNAcentral lists this ribosomal RNA (486 nucleotides) under uncultured bacterium. RNAcentral describes it as "partial 16S ribosomal RNA". It matches the Rfam family "Bacterial small subunit ribosomal RNA", at positions 30 to 507 of the family's 1533-position model. The record is from RNAcentral.